Molecule: long non-coding RNA, 8794 nt
Filed under: Pelobates cultripes (western spadefoot toad)
Lineage: Eukaryota; Metazoa; Chordata; Amphibia; Anura; Pelobatidae
Source: RNAcentral
CUUUACAAUUUAUUUCUUAAAACUUUUAUAUAUUUCAUUAUAUACUUCUUCAUUGCACUUUAAAUACAUUUCAAAACACAUAAAAUAUAUUUGUAUACUAAACUUUUCCAGGCUACAAAAGACUAACAUUUAUAGUCACAAAGAGGAGGUUGAAAUAUUAGUUCAAUUGUCUGAAUCCAACACACCUUUUUCAUUUUCAAUAUAAUGCAACAUAUAAACAUACUUCAUUUAAUCAACACAAUCACGGUUUAAAAUUUUAGGCCAGAGUCAGAAAAAAUAACAUACAAAUUUAUGGACAAAGCAAUUAAACAAUACGAUUAAGUUAAGGAUUUACAUACUAGAGGAAUGAAAUCCAGUACCCACUAGUGCUUAUUGUUUAGAACAUAUAAGUACAAGCAUUUACAAUAAUAUUUCUUCUAUGCAUUAGAAAUUGAGAGGCAGCCAUAGAUUUGUGCUACACAUUGUAAUUCAGUUUUCUUGGUUUAGUCUGGUUUUUAAACACAACAGUGCAGACAAAUAUUCCAUGAUAAAUAAAGCUACAGUCGACAGUAAAGCAAUUAAAGGGCAAUUGUUAAAUCCAACGAUUUUUAAUAUAAUGUUGUUUACUUAUCCCAUAUUUUUAACAAAUAUGUAUUUGUGGGGGUAAAAAAUAAAACGGAAUGUCAAAACAUAGACCUCUUUUUCAUUUAGAUGGGUGCGUCCAUCUUGGUUCCUUGACAAUCUUUGGUACAAGAUCUGUCCUUUGCAUGUGAAAGUGAGAAAUAAGAAGUCAUACAAGAGGAGACCAUGAAACAAUGUUUACAUAACUCCUUCUCAUUUGCAAUGUGUGACCUGGCUGUGCCUGGACACAACUGGAUUGUGAUGUCGUUUGUUAAAUAUUUUUAUAUAAAUUUAAAAGAAAAUGUAGCAUCUCAUUACAACAAAGUUCAGCAGAAGCUCAAGAUAAUUUUCAAUAUUUUAUUCACUGGUGUAAAUUCCACAGAAGGGACUGUUCCCCUUUCGGCAUAAAUAUAUAUAAAUAAAAUAGAUUUUAAAGUACCACGACGAUAUUUUAUAUGGCCAGUACACAAUAAUUAAGCAGCUUUAGUAAUGUUUGUCUAGGAGAGUCACAUCCAUAAUUUGGUCAUAACAAAGGUCCUUGUGUAGUUUCCUAAUAAAUUAUCAAUAUAUUCAUAUAGUAAUCUGCUAAAUACAUGAUAUGCCUAUUAUUUUCAUAGGUAAGCUAUUUUUUGUUGUUUAAUCCUCCAUUUCACAGUAUGAUGUGAUGAGCAAACUCUGCUGCACAGUGUGAUAUAAUAUUGUGACUAUCAGGGCUAAAAUCUCAGUGAAGCACCGGGACAUACAAGUUCCAGGCUCCUAAAGUUUGAAGGAACUAGACUUCUAGGGUGCAACUGCUGCUUUUAUCCCUCUCCCCUUACUCAUACACACUCCUAUCUCUAUCAAUCCCCCUGCUCAUAUAUCGCUUUUGGGAAAAGGACAGAAUUUAUGAUGGUUGCGUAAAGUGCUGUAGCUGCCCUGUUAGGAAAAAUAAUUUCAUUUAUCGAGGGACAUGUAUGUCUCUAUGAUACAAAGUAAGGGAGCUCUAGUGAAGGUAGGUGUAUGUAUGUCGCAUACAUACAGAAAACAGGCGAUAUCUGGCCCUCUAGCUACUGUGGAAAAUAACUUAAUUAUUAUGUUUUUUUUCCCCUAUAUUUUUUAUUUAGGUAAUAUCAAUGGUACAUAACUGAAUAAAGCGUUUGGGGAAAAAUAAUGCCACCAAUAGCCACUCGACCUCCAGCCUCACGGGUUAUGAUGCAUGGAGAAUCUGUCAAUGGUAUUAUUUUUCAAUUGCAUUAUGUAUCCUCUCUCAUUUUGUAUAUUGAUUAAGUAUAUGCAAAACUGCAGAAAACAAAGUGAUAUUAGUCACGUAGGAAACAUUUUGGAAUGAUAGCAAUUUUUUUUCAAAGUACUUGGAAAAUUAUACAUUUUUAGAAUAUAUUACAAAGCACUCAAUAUGUAUGUGUCUGUGUUUUUGCAAAAUUAAACUUCUUUAAAAGCUAUUAGUCAGUAGGUGUCUGAGUAAGAAUGAACUAACUCUUAAAGGCAGUAGGAAAGCCUGAAACCUCUAAAUGUAUUAAAGAUUUAUGAAGAAACAGUGAAUACCAGGAAAUCACAAUUAAAGGUGUUAUGGUUUUGAUGAGAGAUAAACAACAGUGCAAUAUAUGUCAGAAAGAAACAUAGAAAUCUUAACGAACAGCCUCACCCUAAUUCCAGCUAGUAAGGCCAGCUGUGAAAUCCUGAGCAUACAUCACUAAUGUGUUUCAAAGUCCAAUUCCAAGAUUUUCUUGGAAAUCUUUAUACAGCUGGCCUAAACAUGUAGACGGGAUGAUGUUUCAGAAGUAAAGUAGACCUAAAUCUAAAACAUCCAUUAAGUCUGCCCAAACGUGAUCAGGAAUUAUAUUACAAAAGGCUAAGGAUUUUUAACUCCAUCAGUGCUAAGAAAGGGAUGGAGGCAUAUUGGGGGUUCAAAAACAGAGCAAUGCAAUUUACUAAAAGUGGAGCUGUCACUAUAGCAACCAUAAGGGCAUUCCUGUUGACUGUCUCACUUUUCAACUUUUCCACUGACUUCUUUUUUAUACAUAACCCCCCAAAAUAUCACUAAUAUUUUUGCACUCUGCUCCAAGAGAUUUUGCAUUUGAAUAUCCUAAACUUAUUUGCUAUGUUCUAUAACAUGAAAUGGAUUGAAUGGAUGUAGCCUUUGAAGACUUGCUUGUACAUGCUGUUCAUAUGGGAGAUAUAGUGAAUUCAGUUAUAUUUAUAUUAAUUCCCCAAACUGCCUCAGGACACACCCAUGGGUAGUCCCCUUUUCAAAAACUCCCAAGCAUACCCCAGUUCUAUCACAGUACACCUUUAUAGGACCUCCAAAGUGAAUGUGUUUCUGAGCAUGUAACGAACCUCAAAGUAUCAAUACUGGCAUUAAUCAAAGUCAAACAUGUUUAAAAAUAGUCUGUGAAAAUAAAAUUCAUUUUCUCUGUUAAAGAAAUAGAUCAGACAUUCCUGAUGUCAAUUAAAAUGUACUGAAAUAGCCCUGGCCCUUGUCACAUCUUUAGCCAUAGUACUUUAAAAAAAAAAAAAAAAAAACUUUUUUUUUUUUUUUUUUAAAUGGUCUUUUAAAUUCUUUUUCCUAUAUUUUAGUCAAGAUACAAAAUAUAUUUCGAGGUUAAACAUUGAAAGAUCACGUAUGGUGAUGCAUCACCCUGGCAAGACAAGUAUAAUUAUUUAAUUAUGAAUUACCCAUUACUAUAACAACCACUUCCUUUCUAGAAUCCCCUGUCCUUUUUUCCUGUUUUAGCCAACAGCCAGGGAUAGUUUUCCCCCCUCAAACAUUGUUUAUCAUGGUUCUAUCAGGUGAGUUCAGCCUCUCUCCUACUUAACCCCUUAAGGACACAUGACAUAUGUGACAUGUCAUGAUUCCCUUUUAUUCCAGAAGUUUGGUCCUUAAGGGGUUAAGGAGCCAGUAAACAGCCUACCUAUAAAGGACUAACUGGUUAUACGUCACUUAUAAAUUAUUUGGACGACAAGGAGGAUGGCAAAUAUAGGUUAGAAUUGUUCUUAUUUUUAUACAUAUGAAUUAACAAUACUUUAUUAUUGGGACAUGAAUGGAAUAUACUAACCAGUGACAACUGAAAACAUCAAUUAUAAAAACGAACAUAGAAUUAAUAAAAAUUAUACAAAAUUAAGCCCUGUGCUCAAACUCCCACUACUCCUGGGCGGCAGCAUUGACUAUAGUACACAUCAGCUCCAAUACAUACAACCAUUUACCUUGAAAUGGCAGGUGAGCUUACACUUAAAUGGCGGUUGGAGUGAUUCUAAAUAACCUCCAGUUAUUUAAAUGUGCAUAGGGAUUUGGGGUAGUGCGCAAGUAACUCUGUUCUAUAGAAUGAAUAAAGUCUCAAUAACGAUUUAAUGAUUCAUACAUAGAAAAUGUCUUAUUAGCGAAAAAAAUCAGUACAUAUUAUACUACAGUUGAAAGUCAUAAAGAAAAAUAUACACAGAACAUGUCGCUUUUAAGAAAUAGCGUGCAAUUUUAAUGUGACCUCAGAAAACAUUUUAAAAUAGUUCAAAUUUUUGUUCAUAUUUACGCCAUUAUGAAAUUUACAAACAACUCUAGCAGUGCUAAAAUAAUUUAUAUAAAAAAAAUAAAAAAAUCAAUAUGAGUUUUUUUGUAUUUUGACCUUUAUUAGUUUAAAUCUCCCUUUAUAUUUAGUGUUUUAAUAUUAAACUAUGUUUGAUUUCGGUAAAAGCCUUUUUUGUCUGUCUGCUUUUUACAUUCAAAUUUGUUCACAUCGUUUGUGGGCAAGACAGAAAGUGUCAGGCAUAAAAGCAUUCUAAGCCUAAACGCAAACCGAGUCAAGCAACGUGACCAAGGUGAUUAAUGGGACACGCAAGAACAAAACACCCAGAGAAGAAAUCAUAAAAGUUCUCAGCCUUGUAUGUUUUCUAUAUCAAUUAAUACAUAUUUUGAAAUACAAAAACCGUGAAGAUAAAACCACUAUGCCUUUUUGCAUUUGCAAAAAAAAACCAGAAAAAAACCCCCAAACAACAAAAUGACAUUUUUGUUGCUUAAAAUCAAAUAACAUUUCCCAAGAUGAAUGGUCUACAGACACGUUUGAUAAUGGCCAGCGAAUACCAGAGUAAACAUGAGUGAUUUUAUUAGAGUUCAUUCACGUUAAGUAAAUGCAUUUCAUAUUUUAAGGAUAAAUAAGGAAACCUUGAAGAGGUAAAUGCUUUAUUAAAAGGUAUUCAUGUCAUAAAAUGAGAAUUUUACCUUUAAAAUAGCAUUUGAUAGCAUUGCAUAGUUUCUGUAGAGAACAUCAGCGUUUUUUUUUUACUGUAAAUGUAGGCAUUGCUUAUUUGUAUUUAGCAACCAUUACUUUCUUUACUUUCACUCAAGAUUUUAUAAAGUAAUUAUUGGAUAUCAACCUAUAACAGAUCAAUAAAGAUUUAUCUUAAAUAUGUAAAAUACAUAACUGUGUAUUAUGGAAAAAUAAUGCAUUUGAGGCGUACUGGAAACAUUAGAACAAACCGUGUGACUGAUAGUUGAGUGGUUGAUGAAUGACUCCGUAACCUCAAUUUUGCAUUAUUUUCUCUUAAAGAGUUACUCCAAUCCCAAUGGCCACUUCAGUGAUUUGAAGUGGUCAUGGUGCCAGGAACGGGUAUGUGCAGGAUUUCGCUUUGAAACUCACAUACAAAGUUUAUAGUUGGGAAUGUUGGGAUUGUCGCGGUUGCUGUUUGGUUGGAACAACCUUAAAAAAGGUUGUUCCAACCCCAAAAAACCUGUGAUUUUAGAAAACACGUUUUUUGUAACUCUUGGUGGCUUGCUCCCAUGCCCCUUUAAAAUAAAUAACUAAAUGAUAAAUAACUAAAUGAAAACUCAACUUAGAGUCAACUCAGUGCCAAGACAAAUUUCUUCAUGAAGCCUGAUACUCCGGUGUACUCACCACCCCUAACCACAAGGGUAAAGAAUGCCACUAAAGCAGGGCUGGGGAAGGACUUAGAGCACCACCGAGUGGAGGACCAUACCACCAUUGGAUGUACAAUGAAUAUUUUUUUAUGCACAGAAUUGCCGUUCGCAGCACGGAACAAGAUGUAGCUAAUAAUAAUAAUGCUUCCAGAAGUGAACUUACACCACCAGCAGCAAAACCAAUUACCUCUGUAUGUGCAGCAUUUGUAACUGAAAUGCUUCACAAACAGCCUCCAAGCACCAUGACCAUUUCAAAACAUGGAAAUGGUCAAAGUGCUUGGAGUAACACUUUAACCUUCGUCUCUUCAGAGGAGCUGGUGAUAGAAAAUCCUGCUGCCUUUGUCUCCCCAGCCACUCUCCCAGCACAUCUAUUUAGAGAGAAGAGCUGAAUUAAUGAUGGUGCCUGCAAAAAUCAGUAUAACUCCCACUAAUCUUUGGCAAGCUAGAGCGAACCCCAUUUUCAAUGACCAAUAAUCACAGGAUGUCACCUCUGUGAAUUACUUCCAUUGUUGUGUCAUGUCUGCCUAACUGGAGUAAAAAUUAUUUUGUUACAUAUUUGAAUGGAAUUAAGUUAUUUUUUUGGUAUUGUGUCUGCUUGCCUUUACAUUUUUCAUGUAUAUAUUACAUAAAUAAAUGUUUCAAAUAUGCAAUUUUGAAGUAAAUACACAGUGAAUUAUAUAAAGCACAAAUAUACACUGCUUAGUUUUGUCAAGGUGGUUUUCCUUAUUAAAGGAACAGUGUAGGUACCAUAACAACUUAAUAAAAAUGUAGUUGUUCUAAUGCCAGGAGGUCCCUAGUGCUGGCUCCCCUUCAGGGGUUAAACCGUUCUCCAAGGGUUUAAACCCAUAGUCUUUUUUUCCUGCACUAGGGACCUCCUGGCACCAGAAUAACCUCAAUGAAGCUUUUCAACAGGGUUUUCCUUUAAUGCCAAAAAUAAACUACAUUUUUAACAUUAUAUUCAUUCUAUUUUGCCAGUUGAACCAAUAUUACAGUAAAGAUGCACAUCAAGUAAAUAUUAAAUAAUGUAUCCAACAGCAUCCCGGAGAUUUUUUUUUAUAUAUAGCAUUUGUAAGGCUCCAAAUAAUCAGAUAUACAUAUAAUAUACAUAAAGUUGGCAGCAUUUUGGGAAGAUAAAUAGGGGGUACCUUACGGAGAGUAUAAAACUAUACAGCAUUUAAAAAUUACUGUACCACUUUUACCGAUCAAAAUUAAUUCCAUCUACUUAGAUUGCCCCCACCCCCAAAAAAAAAAUCAGCUUUAAGGGAAUCCUCGAAGCACCAUAACUGCCACAGCUCACUGCAGUGGUUAUGGUGCCAGACAUGCUCUGGUGCUGUCCUAGUAUAAUCUAACAGUUUUAGAACAGUUUGAAAAAUGAUCUAUCUUGGUGCCUGCAGCCACAUCCUCUACUUCCUGGAAUCUUCUGCAGGAGAAAUUGAUUAGCAUGGUCGUGCUCAUUGGCCGAGAGCAUCAGCCGUGUUGUGAUUAGCUAAACAGAGCCAACUGGCUUCUUUUGCAGAAGAAUAAUGAAUGAAAUGCCAAUGCCUAGGGACCCAGAGAGGUUAUUAAAUCAUUAUAAAACAGUUUGACAAAUUACUGGCUGGGGCACUGCGGUUAUAAUGUUUGGAGUAUUCCUUUUUCUUAAAAAUGCAAGUAAAGCUUUUCAUCUUGCUCUCAUUCGUGUGAUACAUACAAACUGCACAGUAUGAGCACAUGCACACACACACACGCACACACAUAUAUAUAUUUAUACGCUGAUCAGCGACAACGUUAAAACCACUGACAGGUGACAUGAAUAACAUUAUAUCGUUACAAUAGCAUCAAGGGUGGGAUAUAUUAAUCAGCAUGUGAACAGUCGGUUUUUGAAUUUCACGUGUUGGAAGCAGAAAUAAAUGUGCAAGUGAAAAAAUCUGAGUGACUUUGACAAGGGCCAAAUGGUGAUGGGUAGAUGACUGGGUCAGAGCAUCUCCAAAACGGUGGGUUCCUGGUAUGCAGUGGUUAGUAUCUACCAAAAGUGGUACAAGGAAGGACAACCAAAAGUGGUGCAAGGAAGGACAACCGGUAUACUGGCUUCAGGGUGCCAAAGACUCACUGAUGCAUGGAGGGCAAAGGCUAGUCCUUCUGGCCUGAUCACACAAAAGAGUCACUGUAGCUCAAAUUGCUGAAAAACGUUAUGCUGGCCAUGAUAGAAAGUUGUCAGAACACACAGCGCAUUGCAGUUUGCUGCACAUAGGGCUGUGUAGCUGCAGCCUGUAAGUUCCUUCAUUGGGGACAUGAGCAUCAGAACUGGACCAUGGAGCAAUAGAAGAAGGUUACCUGGUCUGAUAAAUCACACUUUCUUUUAGAUCAGGUGGACUGGUGGAUUGCUGGGUGCAUGUGCAUCGUUAUUCUCGGGACGUAGGCAAGCUGGUGGAGGUACUGUUAUGCUCUGGACAAUGUUCUGCUGGGAAAACUUGGGUCCUGGCAUUUAUGUGAAUGUUACUUUGAUACCUACCUACUUUCACCGCAAUGGUAUUCCCUGAUGUUAGUGGUCUCUUUUAGCAGGAUAAUGCACUCUGCCACACUGCAAAUAUUGUUUAGCAUCAGUUUGAGAGACAAAAAGGUCAAGGUGUUGCCUCGGCCUCCAAAUUCCCCAAAACUCAAUCUAAUCCACAUCUAUGGGAUGUACUGGAACAACAAAUCCAAUCUAUGAAGGCCCCACCUCACAAAUUUCUGGACUUAAAGAAUCUGCUGCUAAUGUCUUGGUGCCAGCACAGGACACUUACAGAAGUUUUGUGGCAGCAUGAGGGGGACACAAUAUUAGGCAGAUGGUUUUAAUAUUGUGGCUGAUCGCUCUCUCUCUCUCUCUCUCUAUAUAUAUAUAUAUAUUUGUGUAAGGGGCCAAUAGCCGUAUAUGGAGUAAGGUUCAAGUAAGAACUUAGGAUAGUAUAAAAGAGCAAGUCGGUGGUGGUGUGCCGAGACCGACGAUACGGUAGGCCUGUAAAUAAAGAGGGCCCACCAAGGAGUAAGAAAAGUAAAGUAAAGGUAAAGAAAAGUAGAAAGUGUUAUGAUUGAGGAGUGGGUGGGAGGGUCAUUCAGAAGCUGACCUUGAUCGGUAAGGAGUCAGUUAAGGGGUGUACCUUAUAUAGGGGAGUGAGUUAACUUAAGCCUCUCCCACAAUUACAGGCCAAACGGCCUAAUAAUAGGGGCAAAUAGCCGUAUAUGGAGUAAGCUUCAAGUAAGACGUUUGAAGUUUUGUCCCUUUGGAUACUCCUGACAUUUAAAAAAAAAAAAGACACUAAGCUUUUAAGUAAU